GGGACACGUGGUAUCCUGUCUGAAUAUGGGGGGACCAUCCUCCAAGGCUAAAUACUCCUGACUGACCGAUAGUGAACCAGUACCGUGAGGGAAAGGCGAAAAGAACCCCGGCGAGGGGAGUGAAAAAGAACCUGAAACCGUGUACGUACAAGCAGUGGGAGCACGCUUCGGCGUGUGACUGCGUACCUUUUGUAUAAUGGGUCAGCGACUUAUAUUCUGUAGCAAGGUUAACCGAAUAGGGGAGCCGAAGGGAAACCGAGUCUUAACUGGGCGUUAAGUUGCAGGGUAUAGACCCGAAACCCGGUGAUCUAGCCAUGGGCAGGUUGAAGGUUGGGUAACACUAACUGGAGGACCGAACCGACUAAUGUUGAAAAAUUAGCGGAUGACUUGUGGCUGGGGGUGAAAGGCCAAUCAAACCGGGAGAUAGCUGGUUCUCCCCGAAAGCUAUUUAGGUAGCGCCUCGUGAAUUCAUCUCCGGGGGUAGAGCACUGUUUCGGCAAGGGGGUCAUCCCGACUUACCAACCCGAUGCAAACUGCGAAUACCGGAGAAUGUUAUCACGGGAGACACACGGCGGGUGCUAACGUCCGUCGUGAAGAGGGAAACAACCCAGACCGCCAGCUAAGGUCCCAAAGUCAUGGUUAAGUGGGAAACGAUGUGGGAAGGCCCAGACAGCCAGGAUGUUGGCUUAGAAGCAGCCAUCAUUUAAAGAAAGCGUAAUAGCUCACUGGUCGAGUCGGCCUGCGCGGAAGAUGUAACGGGGCUAAACCAUGCACCGAAGCUGCGGCAGCGACGCUGAUGCGUUGUUGGGUAGGGGAGCGUUCUGUAAGCCUGCGAAGGUGUGCUGUGAGGCAUGCUGGAGGUAUCAGAAGUGCGAAUGCUGACAUAAGUAACGAUAAAGCGGGUGAAAAGCCCGCUCGCCGGAAGACCAAGGGUUCCUGUCCAACGUUAAUCGGGGCAGGGUGAGUCGACCCCUAAGGCGAGGCCGAAAGGCGUAGUCGAUGGGAAACAGGUUAAUAUUCCUGUACUUGGUGUUACUGCGAAGGGGGGACGGAGAAGGCUAUGUUGGCCGGGCGACGGUUGUCCCGGUUUAAGCGUGUAGGCUGGUUUUCCAGGCAAAUCCGGAAAAUCAAGGCUGAGGCGUGAUGACGAGGCACUACGGUGCUGAAGCAACAAAUGCCCUGCUUCCAGGAAAAGCCUCUAAGCAUCAGGUAACAUCAAAUCGUACCCCAAACCGACACAGGUGGUCAGGUAGAGAAUACCAAGGCGCUUGAGAGAACUCGGGUGAAGGAACUAGGCAAAAUGGUGCCGUAACUUCGGGAGAAGGCACGC
This 1330-nucleotide ribosomal RNA is filed under the name Escherichia coli. RNAcentral's name for it is "partial 23S ribosomal RNA". It matches the Rfam family "Bacterial large subunit ribosomal RNA", at positions 419 to 1751 of the family's 2925-position model. The record is from RNAcentral. Lineage: Bacteria; Pseudomonadati; Pseudomonadota; Gammaproteobacteria; Enterobacterales; Enterobacteriaceae.